CCUACGGGUGGCAGCAGUCGAGAAUCAUUCACAAUGGGGGAAACCCUGAUGGUGCGACGCCGCGUGGGGGAAUGAAGGUCUUCGGAUUGUAAACCCCUGUCAUGUGGGAGCAAAUUAAAAAGAUAGUACCACAAGAGGAAGAGACGGCUAACUCUGUGCCAGCAGCCGCGGUAAUACAGAGGUCUCAAGCGUUGUUCGGAAGCACUGGGCGUAAAGCGUGCGUAGGCUGUUUCGUAAGUCGUGUGUGAAAGGCGCGGGCUCAACCCGCGGACGGCACAUGAUACUGCGAGACUAGAGUAAGGGAGGGGGAACCGGAAUUCUCGGUGGAGCGGUGAAAUGCGUAGAUAUCGCGAGGAACACUCGUGGCGAAGGCGGGUUCCUGGACAUUAACUGACGCUGAGGCACGAAGGCCAGGGGAGCGAAAGGGAUUAGAUACCCUUGUAGUC
This 446-nucleotide ribosomal RNA is filed under the name uncultured bacterium. Its description in RNAcentral is "partial 16S ribosomal RNA". It matches the Rfam family "Bacterial small subunit ribosomal RNA", at positions 338 to 795 of the family's 1533-position model. The record is from RNAcentral.